Molecule: non-coding RNA, 281 nt
Organism: Punica granatum (pomegranate)
Lineage: Eukaryota; Viridiplantae; Streptophyta; Magnoliopsida; Myrtales; Lythraceae
Source: RefSeq, a predicted model, not a curated record
UGCAGCCGAGUUCCCUCCUGAUCUUCAACGGCAAAAGGGACGGCGGCUGAAGGUGGUGCCUCCGGUUCUGUUCGGGCUUAAGAUCCAUGAAAAGAGGGAGCCAAAGGCGAGAGCUUUGAAAACUUCUCCAAGGAUUCGUUUUUCAUUAUGGAAACCUCGGCCAAUGGAAAACAACAGGUGGUGGCACAAGGCUGGCGGAUAUAUAGGAUGAGACUCUGCCGCCCCUUGGACUCCAAUUUUCGUGCCGGACAAGGGGAGAGAUGCAUAAGAGAUUCAUACAA